AUGAUGUCGCGGACGAAGUUGCAGAACAUGGUCGGGCCAUCUGAAGGUGUAGGUAGCAUCUACAGGGAUCCAGGAGCACACCAGGCAGAAAAGUGCGGCCAAGGGAGCUCUGCAACGACGUGCUCUUCGGCCAUGGCGGUCGACGGUGCUAGAGCUCGUCGAGCGACGGCUAGAGGAAGGUAUCAAGAUGUGUCGGGGAAGGUUGUGAUUGUUGGAGAAGAAGCUCUUGAGAACGCGGAGGUUGCAAUGGACAAGCUGGUAGGUCUCUCGAAGGUCGUUGGUCACGGGCACGGCGAACGGCAACGGGAGGUCGCACUCGGGCAGUUUCAGAGGAGAGAGCCGGGGGGGAAUAGCUCGGGCGCAAGCCGGAGGUGGCUUCAGGUGAGCGCACGGGUCACGCCCUCGACCUACCAGAGGAAGAAGAUGACCAGCCGGUGGACUGGGCAGGCUGGGCCGUCUUGGGCCAAAGAGAUACAUCAGUUCAUACUUCCGAAUACCCGUGUCCACGUCGCGCAUGUGGGCUCAGCGGGGGGCACACACCUGACGCAAAAGGGACCUUUUGCACAGAGCGUGCAGUGCGGUACCUCGUGGGCCCGGUACUGUCGUACCAAGUUGGAGGCUGUCCUGCGUCUCGCACCGCUUCUCUUUUUCGAUUUGGGGCUGGAGGUCCGUCUGGAUCUGUUCAUGGCGACUCCGGCAGCGACGGCACCGGCGUUGGCCUCUGGGCCAAGGGUACCCCGCGGACCAGAUGAGAGGGCGGCUGUAGUUCGUGUGCCGGCGCUUGAAGCUGCGAUCCAAGGAUUCGCCAAUAGAGGGACUGAUGUGGUUGUCAACCCGUCGAUGGGCACAGUAUUUGACUCGCUGACAGAGGCCUAUGAAUUCUACAAUUUGUAUUCAUGGGAGGGUAAACCAAAGAGGGAGAACAGUUCAUCGUUGAGAAGCAAUUGUGCCGCCAUGAUUCGUCUACACCGGACAGAUGAUGGGGGGUGCCGUCGAUGCGCUGCGUGCAGCUGCCGCUGCGUGCAGCGCUGCACUUCCCCUCGCUCGAUCUCCUACUUCUCUCGAUCUCGGUCUGCUGCCCGACCCCAUCUCUCCCUCGCAGGCGCGACCCCCUUCUUCUCCGAAUCUCCCUCUCGGUCCCUCCCUCGCUCGAGCCCUCCAGACUCCUCCGUCCGGCCACACCACGACCAAGCUGGGUCCUGCUCCGAUGCGGUUGCGCCUCAGCGUCGCCGUCCUCCAUGGCUGCCAGCGAGCCUCUGCUCUGCUGCACCUGCCUCGACCUCCUUUGCUAGGGCAAGCAGCGCCGCCCCGUCGACCCGCCUCGUCCUCGUGUCUCUGGCGUCAUCCCCGACCCCAGCCACUGGAUCCGGCCGGAUCGAGUCGGCCCGCGUCGAGCACCUCCACCACCUUGCUCCGUCGAGCUCUGUCCUGCUGCACCUCGCCUUGGGCCACCUGCACCACCUCGGGAACCCUUGCCAGGAGUGCCGCCGCUGCUUCCACUUCGCCUGA
Molecule: ribosomal RNA, 1509 nt
Filed under: Triticum aestivum (bread wheat)
Lineage: Eukaryota; Viridiplantae; Streptophyta; Magnoliopsida; Poales; Poaceae
Description: partial small subunit ribosomal RNA
Source: RNAcentral